This 501-nucleotide ribosomal RNA is filed under the name uncultured Entrophospora. Its description in RNAcentral is "SSU rRNA". It matches the Rfam family "Eukaryotic small subunit ribosomal RNA", at positions 569 to 1067 of the family's 1831-position model. Lineage: Eukaryota; Fungi; Glomeromycota; Glomeromycetes; Entrophosporales; Entrophosporaceae. The record is from RNAcentral.
AGCAGCCGCGGUAAUUCCAGCUCCAAUAGCGUAUAUUAAAGUUGUUGCAGUUAAAAAGCUCGUAGUUGAAUUUCGGGAUUGACGUGAUGGUCAUGCCUUAAGGGGUAUGAACUGUUACUGUUGAUUUCUCACCUUCUGGAGAAACUUGAUGUCCUUUAUUGGGUGUCUUGCGGAUCCAGGACCUUUACCUUGAAAAAAUUAGAGUGUUUAAAGCAGGCAUUUUUGCUCGAAUACAUUAGCAUGGAAUAAUAGAAUAGGACGGCAUGGUUCUAUUUUGUUGGUUUCUAGGAUCACCGUAAUGAUUAAUAGGGAUAGUUGGGGGCAUUAGUAUUCAAUUGUCAGAGGUGAAAUUCUUGGAUUUAUUGAAGACUAACUACUGCGAAAGCAUUUGCCAAGGAUGUUUUCAUUAAUCAAGAACGAAAGUUAGGGGAUCGAAGACGAUCAGAUACCGCCGUAGUCUUAACCAUAAACUAUGCCGACUAGGAAUCAGACGAUGUUAAU